This 267-nucleotide ribosomal RNA is filed under the name Bacillus sp. MRMR6. Its description in RNAcentral is "partial 16S ribosomal RNA". It matches the Rfam family "Bacterial small subunit ribosomal RNA", at positions 1 to 256 of the family's 1533-position model. The record is from RNAcentral. Lineage: Bacteria; Bacillati; Bacillota; Bacilli; Caryophanales; Bacillaceae.
UUUCAUGGAGAGUUUGAUCCUGGCUCAGGACGAACGCUGGCGGCGUGCCUAAUACAUGCAAGUCGAGCGAAUCUUGAGGUGCUUGCACCUCUUGGUUAGCGGCGGACGGGUGAGUAACACGUGGGCAACCUGCCUGUAAGACUGGGAUAACAUCGGGAAACCGAUGCUAAUACCGGAUAAUCCUUUUCCUCUCAUGAGGGAAAGCUGAAAGUCGGCUUCUCGCUGACACUUACAGAUGGGCCCGCGGCGCAUUAGCUAGUUGGUGAG